GCGGGAGUGGUGAAAUUGGCAGACACGCAGGAUUUAGGUUCCUGUGCCUUUGGCGUGGGGGUUCAAGUCCCCCCUUCCGCA
This 81-nucleotide transfer RNA is filed under the name Tropheryma whipplei. RNAcentral's name for it is "tRNA-Leu". It matches the Rfam family "tRNA". Rfam says of the family: Transfer RNA (tRNA) molecules are approximately 80 nucleotides in length. Their secondary structure includes four short double-helical elements and three loops (D, anti-codon, and T loops). RNAcentral also lists the same sequence under 2 other names. The record is from RNAcentral. Lineage: Bacteria; Bacillati; Actinomycetota; Actinomycetes; Micrococcales; Tropherymataceae.